This 63-nucleotide transfer RNA is filed under the name Senga ophiocephalina. Its description in RNAcentral is "tRNA-Gly". The record is from RNAcentral. Lineage: Eukaryota; Metazoa; Platyhelminthes; Cestoda; Bothriocephalidea; Bothriocephalidae.
ACAUAAUUAGUAUAAAAAUUAUAAUACUUUUCCAAAGUAUAGAUCUAAUAAUUAGAUUAUGUA